GUGAAUCAUCGAAUUUUUGAACGCAAAUUGCACUCUCCUCGGAGAGUAUGCCUGUUUGAGGGUCAGCCUAUAAAAAAUCGACAUCGUUGCUGUUUCGCGGUGGCGUUCGUCGGAAAUUGGGUCAUCUUAAAUCUUUGUUGUAAUUAAGCUACUAUAAUUUUUCCGUUUGCUUCCAUGAAC
RNAcentral lists this unclassified non-coding RNA (180 nucleotides) under Glomus sp. RNAcentral describes it as "partial contains 5.8S ribosomal RNA and internal transcribed spacer 2". The stretch from base 1 to 65 matches the Rfam family "5.8S ribosomal RNA", at positions 84 to 154 of the family's 154-position model. Lineage: Eukaryota; Fungi; Glomeromycota; Glomeromycetes; Glomerales; Glomeraceae. The record is from RNAcentral.